This 2743-nucleotide long non-coding RNA is filed under the name Sus scrofa (pig). Its description in RNAcentral is "lncRNA (ENSSSCG00045018244.1)". Lineage: Eukaryota; Metazoa; Chordata; Mammalia; Artiodactyla; Suidae. The record is from RNAcentral.
UUUUUUUUUUUUUUUCCAGCCCUGCCCACUCUGCUGAAUAUCUGUGGGCGUCUCCCUGGCGGGUUGCUUUCUCCGCCGGAGAAUUUAGGGAAUCUUGUCCAGGCUUUCAGGGCUGGUUGGAAUGCACCCUUUUCUCAGUGCCAGCCCUUGAUAGGCGCGAACUAGUUGCACUUGCUGGAUGAGUUAGGGAAAGCCUUCUUAAAGAAGAAAUGCAUGGGUCAGCCGGGAGGAGUUUUUACUUCGACUCAAGAUCUGUAUUCAAAGAAGGAAAGCUUGCUUGAGGAGGUCAUUCCUGAGCCAAACCAGGCAAAGAAAAUGGAAAGAGCUUUCCAGGCAAAGGAAGUACUUGAAACAAAAUCCGAUGGCAUGAAUCAAUAUAGCCCAACUGUGCAGUCACAACUCUCAAUCAGUGGUCUUAAAAGUAUACCUACUAUCAAGUGGGGAUCAGCAGAAACACUGGCAGUAUGGGUGCCCGCACACUUGACAUCUUUUCAAAGUUUGGGAGUGUGUUCAGAUAAGAGGAAUCAGUGUGGUGGUACAUCUGGAAAUCAACUCCUGGGAAGAAGGAAUGAUACAAAAAUAAAGUCAUUGGCCUGGAGAAGAGCAGACUGCUGGAAGCUACAGGAGCUAUUAACAAGGAACAAAGGCUUUCCCCCGUUGCUCUCUAAAGCAGAUGAGAAAGCACUAGAUGGAGGCACAGAGCAACAGAUUUCUGAUUUCAACUCAAUGUACAAAAUACUUUUUAAUCUCUAGAACUGUUCAACAAUAGAACAACCUACCUUAAUGAAAUAAAUGUUUCUCUAUGUAAAUACACAGAGAAAAGCUGAUUAUAGAAAGGAGUCUAGAAUUGGGGGCAGGGGGACGAGGGGAGUUGGAGGAGAGCUGUAUCUGGGUUCUAAGAUUUCUUUGACCCCAACAUUCCCUGUCUUUCUAACACAUGAAGCAUCAGUAGAAAAGACAAAAAUGGUCAAAGCUUUAAAGUUUCACAGGUAAAUAAUUAUUCAGUAUAAUCUUGAUUUGAUAUUGAUUAAUGCCAUGUCUUUAGAUGCAGUUGGAAUCUGAGAAGCCUACUGUUUGUUGAGUACUGUUAGGGAACUGUACAAACCUCAGAGAGGGAAACACGUUCUAUGAUUAUAGCUCCAGGAGCCAGAACAGAUCAGCAGGUAACCUGGGGCCUAAACUCAGGAGUUCCUGCUCUUGUUUGUAUAGUAUACCAGGAAAAUACCAUGGUAAAUUCAUCAGAUUAAACACAUAGCAUUCCAUUUUUAGUUAUUAAAAAUGAAUGGCUCAAAUUUGCCUCAUUUAUUAGACUUUGGUUUCUUUAGGAUAAUUAAAGAAAACAAAGCACACAAAGGAACCAACAUGCAAGAGAGCUCAGAGUUAUGAGAAAUGGGGAGAGAGACAGAUCUGAGAACGAAUGUGAGCAGGGGCCAUAAUUGGGUCAGCAGGCCAAGGGUAAAGUUUUGGACUUUAUUCUCAGAUCAAGAUAACCUGGUUUAGGAGUUCCUGUUGUGGCUUAGUGGGUUACAGAAACGACUAGUAUCCAUGAGGACUCGGGUUCCAUUCUUGGCCUCGAUCAGUGGGUUAAGGAUCUGGCAUUGCCAUGAGCUGUGAUGUAGGUUGCAGACUCAGCUCUGAUUCAGUCCUAAAGGAACUUCUAUAAGCUGCAGGUCGCAGGUACAGCCCUGGAAAGCAUGCACAUGGGGAGAUGGGGGAUGGUGGGGGGGGGCGGGGGGGGGGAGAGUAGNNNNNNNNNNNNNNNNNUGAUUUUCAUUUCAAAAGAUCACUCUGGCUGUUGCAGGGAAAGUGCUUUCAAGGGAAAAAGUGGAAGCCAGAGACCAGGCAACAGUGAAUGUUAACCCCAGAGGGCCUGGCUAACAUGAAAGAAUUCAUUGCUAGUCAUUUGCACCCAGUGGGGAGUGGAUGGAACAGGAAGUGUCCUGCUGCCAACAGGGGAUGCUGCAGAAGGCAAUGAGGGGACACCUGGAGCCACAAACGGACACAGCUUCUACCCUCAAGAAGCUUGCUCUCUAGCAAGGGAUUCUGCGAUUGAGCAAAUAAUUUCAAGUAGAGACAACAGUCCACACACAGUGUGAUAGAGCAUAGAGCAGUGGCUUUGAGGUCAGAUGGCUCUGCAUUCAAAGCUCUGCUCUCUCAUUGUAGCUGUGUUACAUUCAUCAAGUUUCCCUCUCUCUGUGUGUCUGUCUGUCUCUCUCCACAGUCUGAUAUCUUCACCUAUUAAGGGUUAGUGAGAGGAUUAAAUGAGAUCCUUUUGGAAAAGCAUGUAACACUGGUAAAAAGGAGGUACUCAAUUCUAUUUGAUAAAUGCACAGAAAAACACAUCCCUUUUUCUCUGCCAUCUGUCUUCUUGUGCCCCUGCUGCCUUUCCAGGCAAUCAUUUUGGUUCUAACUUCCUGCCCCCCCCUUCAACUACUGAAUGUGGUACCAAUGGAGUCAACCCAGCUCACUAACUCUUUGCAUGUUGUUUGCCAGAAUCAGGAGAUGCCAAGUAAUGCAAAUUAAUUGUUUAUACUCCGUUUCCCAAAGUUGUCCUUUUUGAAAAUAAAUAAAAUAUUUUCCCCUCUAUCCCCCCUUUUACAACCAGGGAAUUGUAAAUAUACUAGAAACAGUACAUGGAGGAAUUAAUUUAUUUGAUUAAUGGAUACCCAAUUAUUAUGGUUAAGUUUAUUGUCUUAAACCACAGCUCCAUGGGGACAUUAAUAAAUGUGAUUGCUUUUGCUAG